RNAcentral lists this transfer RNA (69 nucleotides) under Pachyramphus minor. RNAcentral describes it as "tRNA-Arg". Lineage: Eukaryota; Metazoa; Chordata; Aves; Passeriformes; Tyrannidae. The record is from RNAcentral.
AGAGAACUAGUCUAACAAAGACAGUUGAUUUCGACUCAACAAAUUACAGCUCUACCCUGUAGCUCUCUC